AAUCCAUGCAUCAUACAUUUCUAAAUUAAAUCUUUAAAUCAUUCCCAAGCUUCAUAUAGUGUUUCAUCUUCCAAUUUUCAAAAAGAUGUAAUGUUAUUUCUAAGCUU
This is a small nucleolar RNA of Gossypium arboreum, 107 nucleotides long. It matches the Rfam family "Plant small nucleolar RNA R71". From Rfam's summary of the family: R71 is a member of the C/D box family of snoRNAs containing the C (UGAUGA) and D (CUGA) box motifs. Multiple nearly identical copies of this snoRNA have been identified in Arabidopsis, and it is thought to function as a 2'-O-ribose methylation guide for 18S ribosomal RNA. The record is from Rfam. NCBI's taxonomy places the organism in Eukaryota, Viridiplantae, Streptophyta, Magnoliopsida, Malvales, Malvaceae.